GCUGGGCGUGGUGGCACGUGCCUGUAGUCCCAGCUACUUGGGAGGCUGAGGCAGGAGAAUUGCUUGAACCCGGGAGGCAGAGGUUGCAGUGAGCCGAUAUCAUGCCACUGCACUCCAGCCUGGGUAACAGAGCGAGACUCUGUCUCAA
RNAcentral lists this small RNA (148 nucleotides) under Macaca mulatta (Rhesus monkey). RNAcentral's name for it is "Metazoan signal recognition particle RNA (ENSMMUG00000050247.1)". The record is from Rfam by way of RNAcentral. Lineage: Eukaryota; Metazoa; Chordata; Mammalia; Primates; Cercopithecidae.